UUUCACUUCUCGAAUUUACUUUCCUCCUUCUCUAUUCCCUUUUCCUUACCUUCACUUCUCGACUGUUUAACGAGCAUACAUUGGAAGAGAGUCGUCUGUGACGAAGUAAUCUUAUCAAGAGAAAAGUAAAUU
Molecule: non-coding RNA, 132 nt
Filed under: Protocruzia adhaerens
Lineage: Eukaryota; Ciliophora; Spirotrichea
Source: RNAcentral